ACGGAGGAUCCAAGCGUUAUCCGGAUUUACUGGGCUUAAAGGGUGCGUAGGCGGAUUGAUAAGUCAGAGGUGAAAGCCUACAGCUUAACUGUAGAACUGCCUUUGAUACUGCAAGUCUGGAGUGUGGGUGAGGAAAAUGGAAUGCGUCGUGUAGCGGUGAAAUGCGUAGAGAUUAGGAAGAACACCAGUGGCGAAGGCGAUUUUCUGGACUGUAACUGACGCUGAGGCGCGAAAGCGUGGGGAGCAAACAG
RNAcentral lists this ribosomal RNA (251 nucleotides) under uncultured prokaryote. RNAcentral's name for it is "partial 16S rRNA". It matches the Rfam family "Bacterial small subunit ribosomal RNA", at positions 525 to 775 of the family's 1533-position model. The record is from RNAcentral.